This 78-nucleotide transfer RNA is filed under the name Methanobacteriota archaeon. Its description in RNAcentral is "Euryarchaeota archaeon (marine metagenome) tRNA-Glu". It matches the Rfam family "tRNA". From Rfam's summary of the family: Transfer RNA (tRNA) molecules are approximately 80 nucleotides in length. Their secondary structure includes four short double-helical elements and three loops (D, anti-codon, and T loops). Lineage: Archaea; Methanobacteriati; Methanobacteriota. The record is from RNAcentral. RNAcentral also lists the same sequence under 1 other name.
GCUCGAUUAGUGUAGCCAGGUCCAUCAUCUCGGGUUUUCAUCCCGAUAACGCGGGUUCGAAUCCCGCAUCGAGUACCA